AUGACAACAGAACCCACAACAACCAUGACUUUUAUCACCAUCUUCAUCUGGAUAUUUGCCUUCUACAUCAAGGAAUCCAGAGGACAGUACACUGUGACUCAGACUCCUGCAGUGAAAGCUGUUCUCCCAGAACAGACAGUCUCUCUGAACUGUAAAACCAGCAGUAAUGUGCAUGGAGAUUGUUACAUUGGUCAGUCAGGGGGCCAUCAGUGUCUAACCUGGUACCAACAGAAACCUGGAGAAAAACCCAAACUCAUUAUGCUCCCAGGGAACAAACUCCAUUCUGGGACUCCUAGAUUCAGUGGCAGUGGAUCUGGGAGUGACUUCACUCUGACCAUCAGUGGAGUCCAGGCUGAAGAUGCAGGAGAUUACUACUGUCAGAGUUUACACUAUCCCAAUAGUGUCUGGGUGUUCACACAGUGA
Molecule: non-coding RNA, 423 nt
Organism: Coregonus clupeaformis (lake whitefish)
Lineage: Eukaryota; Metazoa; Chordata; Actinopteri; Salmoniformes; Salmonidae
Source: the annotation of a RefSeq genome assembly